Molecule: transfer RNA, 84 nt
Filed under: Rhodopseudomonas sp. P2A-2r
Lineage: Bacteria; Pseudomonadati; Pseudomonadota; Alphaproteobacteria; Hyphomicrobiales; Nitrobacteraceae
Description: tRNA-Leu
Rfam family: tRNA
About the family: Transfer RNA (tRNA) molecules are approximately 80 nucleotides in length.
Source: RNAcentral
GCGGGCGUGGCGGAAUUGGUAGACGCAGCGGCUUUAGGUGCCGCCGACGCAAGUUGUGGGGUUCGAGUCCCUCCGCCCGCACCA